AUUGAACGCUGGCGGCAUGCUUUACACAUGCAAGUCGAACGGUAACAGGCCUUCGGGUGCUGACGAGUGGCGAACGGGUGAGUAAUGCAUCGGAACGUACCCAGAGGUGGGGGAUAACGCAGCGAAAGCUGUGCUAAUACCGCAUGUGAUCUGAGGAUGAAAGCGGGGGACCGAGCAGCAAUGUUUGGCCUCGCGCCUUUGGAGCGGCCGAUGUCGGAUUAGCUAGUUGGUGGGGUGAAGGCCUACCAAGGCGACGAUCCGUAGCUGGUCUGAGAGGACGACCAGCCACACUGGGACUGAGACACGGCCCAGACUCCGACGGGAGGCAGCAGGGGGGAAUUUUGGACAAUGGGCGCAAGCCUGAUCCAGCAAUGCCGCGUGCGGGAAGAAGGCCUUCGGGUUGUAAACCGCUUUUGGAAGGAACGAAACGGUGUCCGCUAAUACCGGGCGCUAAUGACGGUACCUGCAGAAUAAGCACCGGCUAACUACGUG
This 492-nucleotide ribosomal RNA is filed under the name uncultured bacterium. RNAcentral's name for it is "partial 16S ribosomal RNA". It matches the Rfam family "Bacterial small subunit ribosomal RNA", at positions 29 to 507 of the family's 1533-position model. The record is from RNAcentral.